GAAUAUUGGACAAUGGGCGAAAGCCUGAUCCAGCCAUGCCGCGUGGGUGAAGAAGGUCUUCGGAGGGUAAAGCACUUUAAGUUGGGAGGAAGGGCAGUAAGCGAAUACCUUGCUGUUUUGACGUUACCGACAGAAUAAUCACCCGCUCACUCUGUGCCAGCAGCCGAGUUAAUACAGUGGGUGCAAGCGUUAAUCGGAAUUACUGGGCGUAAAGCGCGCGUAGGUGGUUCGUUAAGUUGGAUGUGAGAUCCCCGGGCUCAACCGGGGAACUGCAUCCAAAACUGGCGAGCUAGAGUAGGGCAGAGGGUGGUGGAAUUUCCUGUGUAGCGGUGAAAUGCGUAGAUAUAGGAAGGAACACCAGUGGCGAAGGCGACCACCUGGGCUCAUACUGACACUGAGGUGCGAAAGCGUGGGGAGCAAACAG
RNAcentral lists this ribosomal RNA (424 nucleotides) under uncultured bacterium. RNAcentral's name for it is "partial 16S ribosomal RNA". It matches the Rfam family "Bacterial small subunit ribosomal RNA", at positions 359 to 775 of the family's 1533-position model. The record is from RNAcentral.